AACCUUUUGUUGUUCACAAGUGUGAUGAUUGGGGUUCAGCCACCGUGUGAAAUGUGCCUCCCUCAAACCUUGUCACAACAUAAUUGGCACCUUACCCAUCUGAUG
Small nucleolar RNA from Neomonachus schauinslandi (Hawaiian monk seal), 105 nucleotides. RefSeq annotates it as small nucleolar RNA U13. NCBI's taxonomy places the organism in Eukaryota, Metazoa, Chordata, Mammalia, Carnivora, Phocidae. The transcript has a single exon. The record is from RefSeq and is a predicted model, not a curated record.